CCUAUUACCCUGUGUCUUUUGAUUGGAGCAUUGAUUCCAUUGACGUUUAGAACACUGAUGCCUCUCAGCGUCAUUUAAUACACCAGACUGCUAUGGAACAAGAAACAGAAGGCUGCAUGCAAUUGAAACUAUCAUUUCUUUAAAGGCAUCUAAAAAAUUCAUUUCUGGUCUUACCACAAUUCAUUAUUUUUGGAAAAGAGACAAGGCAUCUUUGAUGACAGUGUUAAUAACAUUACUGUUUUAAGCAAACAUUUACCGAUGUAGUUUUAUGGAAUCCCAUAAAUGACUUAUUUAUGUUACAUAGAGUACUAAGGAAACAACUAUGGAAAAACAUUAUAAGAUCACUGAUUUUAUUGCUCUAUAAGCAAUGUAUAUUAACUUCAUGAAACUUCGAAAACACAUAUAAACCCAGAGAUUACUAGUGUAAAGUUUUUGUUGUAGUCAUUCAACACCUUUCUUUAGGAACAUAGAAAUCUUUUACAAUAAAAAUUGGAUUAUAUUGUACAUGCUGUUUUAUAACCUGCAUUUUUCAUCCUAAAAAUAUGUUGUAAAUCUAUUUCCAUAGCAUUAAAUGUUUUUCUACAUCAUUUUAAUGACUUCAUACUGUGAUAUUUUAUAAUGUACUAUCAUCUAAUUAACAAGUUCCUUGUUAGGUACUGUUUUGUUGUUGUUGUUGUUGUUGUUUUUCCCAUUGUUGAAAUGAACAUCUUUGCUAAAUUAAAUCUUGUUUUACAUUCUUGAGUAA
Long non-coding RNA from Leopardus geoffroyi (Geoffroy's cat), 745 nucleotides. RefSeq lists it as uncharacterized. The transcript has 2 exons. NCBI's taxonomy places the organism in Eukaryota, Metazoa, Chordata, Mammalia, Carnivora, Felidae. The record is from RefSeq and is a predicted model, not a curated record.